This is a small nuclear RNA of Vicugna pacos (alpaca), 107 nucleotides long. The record is from Ensembl. NCBI's taxonomy places the organism in Eukaryota, Metazoa, Chordata, Mammalia, Artiodactyla, Camelidae.
GUGCUCGCUUCAGCAGCAUGUAUACUACAAUUGGACCAAUACAGAAAAGGUUAGCAUGGCCCCUGUGUAAGGAUGGCAUGCAAAUUCGUGAAGCGUUCCAUAUUUAU